UACAUGGGGUGCAAACGUUGCUCGGAAUUAUUGGGCGUAAAGCGCACGUAGGCGGUUCGUUAAGUCGGAUGUGAAAGCCCUCAGCUCAACUGAGGAAGUGCGCCCGAAACUGCAGAGCUUGAGUACCGGAGAGGGUGGCGGAAUUCCCCAAGUAGAGGUGAAAUUCGUAGAUAUGGGGAGGAACACCGGUGGCGAAGGCGGCCACCUGGACGGUCACUGACGCUGAGACGCGAAAGCGUGGGGAGCAAACAGG
This 253-nucleotide ribosomal RNA is filed under the name uncultured bacterium. RNAcentral's name for it is "partial 16S ribosomal RNA". It matches the Rfam family "Bacterial small subunit ribosomal RNA", at positions 524 to 776 of the family's 1533-position model. The record is from RNAcentral.